UGAGGAAUAUUGGGCAAUGCCCGCAAGGGUGACCCAGCAACGCCGCGUGGAGGCUGAAUGUCGUACGAUUGUAAACUCCUGUUAGCGGGGAAGAAUAGUACCGGUUGGACCGGUAUAUGACUGUACCCUCAGAGAAAGCCCCGGCUAACUACGUGCCAGCAGCCGCGGUAAUACGUAGGGGGCAAGCGUUGUCCGGAUUUACUGGGUGUAAAGGGCGCGCAGGCGGGAUAAAAAGUCAGUGGUGAAAUCCUACAGCUUAACUGUAGAACUUCCUUUGAUACUUUUAUUCUUGAGUUCGGGAGAGAGAGACGGAAUUCCAGGUGUAGUGGUGAAAUACGUAGAUAUCUGGAAGAACACCAGGUGCGAAGGCGGUCUCUUGGUCCGACACUGACGCGGAGGCGCGAAAGCGUGGGGAGCAAACA
RNAcentral lists this ribosomal RNA (422 nucleotides) under uncultured bacterium. RNAcentral describes it as "bacterial SSU rRNA". It matches the Rfam family "Bacterial small subunit ribosomal RNA", at positions 355 to 774 of the family's 1533-position model. The record is from RNAcentral.